This 286-nucleotide ribosomal RNA is filed under the name uncultured bacterium. RNAcentral's name for it is "partial 16S ribosomal RNA". It matches the Rfam family "Bacterial small subunit ribosomal RNA", at positions 334 to 637 of the family's 1533-position model. The record is from RNAcentral.
CAUUCCUACGGGACGCAGCAGUGGGGGAUAUUGCACAAUGGGGGGAACCCUGAUGCAGCGACGCCGCGUGGGGGAAGAAGCGCCUCGGCGCGUAAAGCCCUGUCAGCAGGGAAGAAAAUGACGGUACCUGAAGAAGAAGCCCCGGCUAACUACGUGCCAGCAGCCGCGGUAAUACGUAGGGGGCAAGCGUUAUCCGGAUUUACUGGGGGUAAAGGGGGCGCAGACGGCGAUGCAAGCCAGGAGUGAAAGCCCGGGGCCCAACCCCGGGACUGCUCUUGUAACUGCG